Molecule: ribosomal RNA, 497 nt
Filed under: uncultured bacterium
Lineage: Bacteria
Description: partial 16S ribosomal RNA
Rfam family: Bacterial small subunit ribosomal RNA
Source: RNAcentral
GAUGAACGCUGGCGGCGUGCCUAAUACAUGCAAGUCGAGCGAACAGAUGAGGAGCUUGCUCCUCUGACGUUAGCGGCGGACGGGUGAGUAACACGUGGAUAACCUACCUAUAAGACUGGGAUAACUUCGGGAAACCGGAGCUAAUACCGGAUAAUAUAUUGAACCGCAUGGUUCAAUAGUGGAAGAAGGUUUUGCUGUCACUUAUAGAUGGAUCCGCGCCGCAUUAGCUAGUUGGUAAGGUAACGGCUUACCAAGGCAACGAGGCGUAGCCGACCUGAGAGGGUGAUCGGCCACACUGGAACUGAGACACGGUCCAGACUCCUACGGGAGGCAGCAGUAGGGAAUCUUCCGCAAUGGGCGAAAGCCUGACGGAGCAACGCCGCGUGAGUGAUGAAGGUCUUCGGAUCGUAAAACUCUGUUAUUAGGGAAGAACAAAUGUGUAAGUAACUAUGCACGUCUUGACGGUACCUAAUCAGAAAGCCACGGCUAACUACGUG